This 276-nucleotide long non-coding RNA is filed under the name Elaeis guineensis (African oil palm). RNAcentral's name for it is "long non-coding RNA (EGUI_LNC028023)". Lineage: Eukaryota; Viridiplantae; Streptophyta; Magnoliopsida; Arecales; Arecaceae. The record is from RNAcentral.
CAAGUGUGAAUGGUGGAAAGAAGUUUUCACAAGAUUCAUAAGUAAACUCGAGUCGAGUCAAUCUGGUAUAUGACUGAUGAUGAAGUUUGAUGAGAUCAUCACGACCUCUGUCAAAUCGAGACUCAUGAUAGAAAGAUUAAAUUAUAUGGUAACUACACCUAGAAGUUUAUAUUUUUAUUCUACUGAGUUGCCACUAUAUACUGCUAGACGUCACUGAUGGAUUAUGGGACUCAUUGGGCAUCGUCUUGAUGAUUGAUAACCCUCGAAAGGCAGAGU